GGGAAUGUGGCUUAGUGGUAGAGUGCUUGCCUAGCAUGCAUGAAGCCCUGGGUUCAAUUCCUCAGUACUA
RNAcentral lists this transfer RNA (70 nucleotides) under Dipodomys ordii (Ord's kangaroo rat). It matches the Rfam family "tRNA". Rfam says of the family: Transfer RNA (tRNA) molecules are approximately 80 nucleotides in length. Their secondary structure includes four short double-helical elements and three loops (D, anti-codon, and T loops). The record is from Rfam by way of RNAcentral. Lineage: Eukaryota; Metazoa; Chordata; Mammalia; Rodentia; Heteromyidae.